This 642-nucleotide ribosomal RNA is filed under the name Euphorbia peninsularis. RNAcentral's name for it is "eukaryotic LSU rRNA". Lineage: Eukaryota; Viridiplantae; Streptophyta; Magnoliopsida; Malpighiales; Euphorbiaceae. The record is from RNAcentral.
UCGAACCUGCACAGCAGAACGACCCGUGAACAUGUUCAUAAAACGAGCGGGCCAAAGCCGGCAAUUGCUAGCAUUGGCCCUUCUCGAGGCCUUAAUCAAGGUAAUUUGGUGUGAAGGCCCRGCCUUCCCUCCAACGUGCCUUGGUCUAGGCCUUCUAACAAACCCCCGGCGCGGAAAGCGCCAAGGAAUUUGCAAACAAAAAGAUCGGUCACCCCGAUUGCCUCGGAAACGGUGUGCAAAAGGGAUGUGCCAUCAUUUGAGAAUCUAAACGACUCUCGGCAACGGAUAUCUCGGCUCUCGCAUCGAUGAAGAACGCAGCGAAAUGCGAUACUUGGUGUGAAUUGCAGGAUCCCGCGAACCAUCGAGUUUUUGAACGCAAGUUGCGCCCGAAGCCUUUUGGCCGAGGGCACGUCUGCCUGGGUGUCACUCAACGUCGCCACAACCCCCUUCCUUUUGGAAUGGGGGGCGGAAGAUGGCCUCCCGUGUGCUAAUGCUUGCGGUUGGCCCAAAUGUCCGGUCCUCGGCAUAGAUGCCACGGCAAUCGGUGGUUGUACGACCCUCGCUAAAUGCUGUGAGCGUUCUGGUGUUGACGUGACCUACGAGUCCCCAAAGCGUAUCGGCAGAUGCGCUCGCAAUGCGACC